This 1566-nucleotide ribosomal RNA is filed under the name Triticum aestivum (bread wheat). RNAcentral describes it as "partial small subunit ribosomal RNA". The record is from RNAcentral. Lineage: Eukaryota; Viridiplantae; Streptophyta; Magnoliopsida; Poales; Poaceae.
CGCAGUAAACAGCACUAGAAACUUUGCUUAUGAGGAUUUAAUCAAAUCACUAAAGCCCAGGGUGCGGGCAUAGCGACGAGGAGAGGACGCGGCGACCUAGAGGAGGAAGGAGGGUGAGUCCUAUGUUCCCCUUCUUCCGUCCCCAGAUCCACGAUGAGGCCGCGCCGCCGUCUCGGUUCGUGUGGGUAGAGAGAAGUUCUACCAGUUCUUCUUCUAUGUGCGUCGAUCGUGGCCGUUGGGUCCGUUGUGGGUUUACUCGAGGAGGAACUUAGACUAGGAGAGCAGAGAGUUUGGAGUUAGAGAGAUUAAUGAGACUUAGUGACGUUCGACGUGUAUAUUAAAGAAACUUAGUAGGGUUAAAGGAAGGGGAGCUAAAGUGAAUCCAGUGGCAGAUAAGUAGAGUAAUGGUUUAUACGAUCGUAUUUGUUAAAUGACUUAACAACAAAUGUCAAAUUUUUUACAUCAUAUCCAUCGAUACACGUUCCUGUCAGUUUUAACAUCACGGACCGUCUAAUAGUAUAUCAUUUAAGACCAUAUCGAAGAAAACAAACAUACUAACAUAGACGAGUGAAGUAGAACAUUUUUAUUCUUCUCUCUCUUCCAUAUGACUAAUUACGGUUACUAGGUCUUAAACUAGAAAAAAAAAACAAGAAAUCGAACCGGGCGGGUCGUUAAACAAACAUCGAGGCGGUGACGACUCUGGGGAUCACAAGGGUCGGUGCGGAGCGGGUGAGCGCGACACACACGGAGCCUCUACCGGCCGCGCAGUAAAAAACUAUCCUACCAAAGGGUCGAAGCCAGCUGUAGGUUCAUGAUGUGACCUAUAGGGUUCCUAGAUCCCGGUAGUUCUUAGUAUGGCAAGUGUAGUCUCGCAGUCAAACACGUCGAUAAUGUACUUCCUGCCGGACAUCAACACCGGAAAUGGUAAUUCACGUGAAUAUGUGUCGUAGAACUGUUUCAUGACCUCCUUCGACGACGAUGUAAAAUAGGAGUAUAUUUCAAACAAGCCCACCUUACGGGUUUCAUAGGACCCAAAACGGAGUGCUCCGUUUUCUGGCUCAUAGGUAAAGAACUUCAUAAAAUGUUGGGUCUUGUCCGACGAUUGGGUCCAUUCUAACACCUAGGCUCGUAGUGCUUUAUGAGGCGUUUUCAGGACGGAAAGUUGAUACUGGUCUCGCACAUACCUAAAGCUCUCAUAAAAUUCUUCAUACCCAAGUUCAUAAGGCUUCGUUUGAUUGAUCCAAACAGUACCACUUCGGGACGUCUCAGUCGGUCAGGUUGACCGUACUACUCCGGAUCAUAAACUUAAAUGAAAGUCGGACAUGAUUGUUUGUCACUAUGACGUAAGAAUUCUUAGUCGUGGGGGACGUAUGACCCGACCGAGACGGAACCGUUUACCAACCUUUUUACCGUUUCGACAAUCGAUCCAAAGGUCAUAAGAGUUAGUUCUAACAUCAUCUUAAAGACCUACAACGUACAACAAGAAACAGCUUAGAGACUUGACGUAAAAGUCUGAGCGAUAAUUAUUUUAAGACGCCGAGUGGUAGAGUACGCGUCUUUAAGAGG